RNAcentral lists this ribosomal RNA (468 nucleotides) under uncultured bacterium. Its description in RNAcentral is "partial 16S ribosomal RNA". It matches the Rfam family "Bacterial small subunit ribosomal RNA", at positions 28 to 507 of the family's 1533-position model. The record is from RNAcentral.
GACGAACGCUGGCGGCGUGCUUAACACAUGCCAGUCGAACGGAAAGGCCCUGCUUUUGUGGGGUGCUCGAGUGGCGAACGGGUGAGUAACACGUGAGUAACCUGCCCUUGACUUUGGGAUAACUUCAGGAAGCUGGGGCUAAUACCGGAUAGGAGCUCCUGCUGCAUGGUGGGGGUUGGAAAGUUUCGGCGGUUGGGGAUGGUCUCGCGGCUUAUCAGCUUGUUGGUGGGGUAGUGGCUUACCAAGGCUUUGACGGGUAGCCGGCCUGAGAGGGUGACCGGCCACAUUGGGACUGAGAUACGGCCCAGACUCCUACGGGAGGCAGCAGUGGGGAAUAUUGCACAAUGGGCGGAAGCCUGAUGCAGCAACGCCGCGUGCGGGAUGACGGCCUUCGGGUUGUAAACCGCUUUCGCCUGUGACGAAGCGUGAGUGACGGUAAUGGGUAAAGAAGCACCGGCUAACUACGUG